GAUGAACGCUAGCGGCAGGCUUAAUACAUGCAAGUCGAGGGGCAGCAGGGGUAGCAAUACUCGCUGGCGACCGGCAAACGGGUGCGGAACACGUACAGAACCUUCCUUUAAGCGGGGGAGUAGCCCGAACGAAAUUACGGUAUUAAUUACCCCACUAGUAUUUGUUUUGGUUGGCAUCAUUAGUACAAUUAAAGUAAUUUAUUCACUUAGUAGAUGGCGUG
RNAcentral lists this ribosomal RNA (221 nucleotides) under uncultured bacterium. RNAcentral's name for it is "partial 16S ribosomal RNA". It matches the Rfam family "Bacterial small subunit ribosomal RNA", at positions 28 to 233 of the family's 1533-position model. The record is from RNAcentral.